UCCCAAUGCCGUAUGCAUGACUCUCUAGGC
This 30-nucleotide non-coding RNA is filed under the name Homo sapiens (human). The record is from RNAcentral. Lineage: Eukaryota; Metazoa; Chordata; Mammalia; Primates; Hominidae.